RNAcentral lists this long non-coding RNA (812 nucleotides) under Homo sapiens (human). RNAcentral describes it as "non-protein coding LINC02503:4". Lineage: Eukaryota; Metazoa; Chordata; Mammalia; Primates; Hominidae. The record is from RNAcentral.
GUAGUUUACAUUAAGGAAGACUCCUGAUGUUGUACACUCUAUGGAUUCUACAAAUGUAUAAUGAGACAAUCAAACUUCAGAUAAUCAUGCAACAAGGUUUCCAGCCAGUUCCAGGUGUAGACACCACUCCCAGCCAUCAAGAAACUACUGUCAAGGCAAGGGUUCUGUGAUCCUCAAUAGGGUAAAUGCUGGAGGGGCUCCAAUUUGGAAGUGUUACAUUAUCAAGUUAAAUCAUAAGAGCAAUUUAUAAAAGAGAUAGCUUGGAAUUAAACUACAAAAGCUGCUUAAGGUAAAAUAUGCGAGGGAACUCUCUUGUUGCCAUUGUGAGACCCUGGAGAACAGAUGGAACCAACUCUCAAGCUUCUGCUCGGGCAGAAAUAAAGAUGUUCUUUGAAACCAACGAGAACAAAGACACAACAUACCAGAAUCUCUGGGACACAUUCAAAGCAGUGUGUAGAGGGAAAUUUAUAGCACUAAAUGCCCACAAGAGAAAGCAGGAAAGAUCCAAAAUUGACACCCUAACAUCACAAUUAAAAGAACUAGAAAAGCAAGAGCAAACACAUUCAAAACCUAGCAGAAGGCAAGAAAUAACUAAAAUCAGAGCAGAACUGAAGGAAAUAGAGACACAAAAAACCCUUCAAAAAAUUAAUGAAUCCAGGAGCUGCUUUUUUGAAAGGAUCAACAAAAUUGAUAGACCGCUAGCAAGACUAAUAAAGAAGAAAAGAGAGAAGAAUCAAAUAGAUGCAAUAAAAAAUGAUAAAGGGGAUAUCACCACCGAUCCCACAGAAAUACAAACUACCAUCAGAGAAUAC